RNAcentral lists this long non-coding RNA (288 nucleotides) under Malus domestica (apple). RNAcentral describes it as "long non-coding RNA (MDOM_LNC020914)". Lineage: Eukaryota; Viridiplantae; Streptophyta; Magnoliopsida; Rosales; Rosaceae. The record is from RNAcentral.
UGUUGGUAGGUGGUGAUGAGAGCUGUCUGUGUAGUAGUUGAAGUGGAUGAGUCGUUGGGGUUCUGAAGAUCAAAAGCAAGAAUCCGUGUGUGUAACUCGGUGAAGGAUGGCAAGGGUUUCGAGUUAAUGACGGUUGUAAGGAGCAUACAAUAGUCGGGACCUAACUCCCAAAGCACCAUGAAAACCAAGUCGUUGUUAAAGACAGGUUAUCCAACAUGAACGAGUUCAUCAACGAGAUUCUUGAAGUGUUGCAGGAACUCAGAGACGGAACGAGUGCCUUUAUGAAGA